This 72-nucleotide transfer RNA is filed under the name Ovis aries (sheep). It matches the Rfam family "tRNA". Rfam says of the family: Transfer RNA (tRNA) molecules are approximately 80 nucleotides in length. Their secondary structure includes four short double-helical elements and three loops (D, anti-codon, and T loops). The record is from Rfam by way of RNAcentral. Lineage: Eukaryota; Metazoa; Chordata; Mammalia; Artiodactyla; Bovidae.
UCCCUGGUGGCUCAUAUGGUAAAGCGUCUGCCUGCAAUGCAGAAGACCUGGGCUCGAUUCCUGGGUCGGGAU